Molecule: ribosomal RNA, 468 nt
Filed under: uncultured bacterium
Lineage: Bacteria
Description: partial 16S ribosomal RNA
Rfam family: Bacterial small subunit ribosomal RNA
Source: RNAcentral
GACGAACGCUGGCGGCGUGCUUAACAUAUGCAAGUCGAACGGAAAGGCCCUGCUUUUGUGGGGUGCUCGAGUGGCGAACGGGUGAGUAACACGUGAGUAACCUGCCCUUGGCUUUGGGAUAACUUCAGGAAACUGGGGCUAAUACCGGAUAGGAGCUCCUGCUGCAUGGUGGGGGUUGGAAAGUUUCGGCGGUUGGGGAUGGACUCGCGGCUUAUCAGCUUGUUGGUGGGGUAGUGGCUUACCAAGGCUUUGACGGGUAGCCGGCCUGAGAGGGUGACCGGCCACAUUGGGACUGAGAUACGGCCCAGACUCCUACGGGAGGCAGCAGUGGGGAAUAUUGCACAAUGGGCGGAAGCCUGAUGCAGCAACGCCGCGUGCGGGAUGACGGCCUUCGGGUUGUAAACCGCUUUCGCCUGUGACGAAGCGUGAGUGACGGUAAUGGGUAAAGAAGCACCGGCUAACUACGUG